Molecule: ribosomal RNA, 1209 nt
Filed under: Escherichia coli
Lineage: Bacteria; Pseudomonadati; Pseudomonadota; Gammaproteobacteria; Enterobacterales; Enterobacteriaceae
Description: partial 23S ribosomal RNA
Rfam family: Bacterial large subunit ribosomal RNA
Source: RNAcentral
GGUUAAGCGACUAAGCGUACACGGUGGAUGCCCUGGCAGUCAGAGGCGAUGAAGGACGUGCUAAUCUGCGAUAAGCGUCGGUAAGGUGAUAUGAACCGUUAUAACCGGCGAUUUCCGAAUGGGGAAACCCAGUGUGAUUCGUCACACUAUCAUUAACUGAAUCCAUAGGUUAAUGAGGCGAACCGGGGGAACUGAAACAUCUAAGUACCCCGAGGAAAAGAAAUCAACCGAGAUUCCCCCAGUAGCGGCGAGCGAACGGGGAGCAGCCCAGAGCCUGAAUCAGUAUGUGUGUUAGUGGAAGCGUCUGGAAAGGCGCGCGAUACAGGGUGACAGCCCCGUACACAAAAAUGCACAUGCUGUGAGCUCGAUGAGUAGGGCGGGACACGUGGUAUCCUGUCUGAAUAUGGGGGGACCAUCCUCCAAGGCUAAAUACUCCUGACUGACCGAUAGUGAACCAGUACCGUGAGGGAAAGGCGAAAAGAACCCCGGCGAGGGGAGUGAAAAAGAACCUGAAACCGUGUACGUACAAGCAGUGGGAGCACGCUUAGGCGUGUGACUGCGUACCUUUUGUAUAAUGGGUCAGCGACUUAUAUUCUGUAGCAAGGUUAACCGAAUAGGGGAGCCGAAGGGAAACCGAGUCUUAACUGGGCGUUAAGUUGCAGGGUAUAGACCCGAAACCCGGUGAUCUAGCCAUGGGCAGGUUGAAGGUUGGGUAACACUAACUGGAGGACCGAACCGACUAAUGUUGAAAAAUUAGCGGAUGACUUGUGGCUGGGGGUGAAAGGCCAAUCAAACCGGGAGAUAGCUGGUUCUCCCCGAAAGCUAUUUAGGUAGCGCCUCGUGAAUUCAUCUCCGGGGGUAGAGCACUGUUUCGGCAAGGGGGUCAUCCCGACUUACCAACCCGAUGCAAACUGCGAAUACCGGAGAAUGUUAUCACGGGAGACACACGGCGGGUGCUAACGUCCGUCGUGAAGAGGGAAACAACCCAGACCGCCAGCUAAGGUCCCAAAGUCAUGGUUAAGUGGGAAACGAUGUGGGAAGGCCCAGACAGCCAGGAUGUUGGCUUAGAAGCAGCCAUCAUUUAAAGAAAGCGUAAUAGCUCACUGGUCGAGUCGGCCUGCGCGGAAGAUGUAACGGGGCUAAACCAUGCACCGAAGCUGCGGCAGCGACGCUGAUGCGUUGUUGGGUAGGGGAGCGUUCUGUAAGCCU